AAGUCGUAACAAGGUUUCCGUAGGUGAACCUGCGGAAGGAUCACUAACAAAUCAUUGUAGCGCAUCAGAGGUGGUCAAACACUUCCUGAUGUUGCUCACAUAAACCCGAACCUGUGCAGCAAUGCCAGGCGAGGUGUAGAGCCUUCGGGUCCUGCGGUGAAAGACUAAUGAGAGUAUUCAUAGUCCGGAUCCACAUAGACGCUUUUUAGUUUGACAGUAUCAGUUGACACAAUCAAAAUGACAACUUUUAACAAUGGAUCUCUUGGCUCUU
RNAcentral lists this unclassified non-coding RNA (271 nucleotides) under fungal sp. RNAcentral's name for it is "partial internal transcribed spacer region". The stretch from base 1 to 46 matches the Rfam family "Eukaryotic small subunit ribosomal RNA", at positions 1786 to 1831 of the family's 1831-position model. The record is from RNAcentral. Lineage: Eukaryota; Fungi.